This 222-nucleotide long non-coding RNA is filed under the name Lathyrus oleraceus (garden pea). RNAcentral describes it as "Pisum sativum (pea) long non-coding RNA (PSAT_LNC004216)". Lineage: Eukaryota; Viridiplantae; Streptophyta; Magnoliopsida; Fabales; Fabaceae. The record is from RNAcentral.
AAAAUUACAUUAAUAUAAACAAUUAGAAUGAUAUGUAUAAUGGCAAAUGAUAUAAAGUGCUAAAAGUAAAUUGUAUUAAAGUAAAAGCUUGAAAGUAAAAGUUAAUAGUUAGUAAGUUAGUAGUUAGUUUUGUUUUGCUUUUGAUUUCAAGACAUUCUUUGGAGAACACUCAACCCACUUGCCACAAACAUGAAUCCUGGAACCAAAACAUCUUCCAAAAAG